GUGAGGAAUUUUCCGCAAUGGGCGAAAGCCUGACGGAGCAAUGCCGCGUGAAGGAUGAAGGCCUAUGGGUUGUAAACUUCUUUUCUCAGAAAAGAAUUAUGACGGUAUCUGAGGAAUAAGCAUCGGCUAACUCUGUGCCAGCAGCCGCGGUAAGACAGAGGAUGCAAGCGUUAUCCGGAAUGAUUGGGCGUAAAGCGUCUGUAGGUUGUUUAAAAAGUAUUCUGUCAAAGAUUAGGGCUUAACCCUAGAUAGGCAGAAUAAACUUUUAAGCUAGAGUUUGGUAGAGGCAGAGGGAAUUCCCGGUGGAGCGGUGAAAUUCGUAGAUAUCGGGAGGAACACCAAAGGCGAAGGCACUCUGCUGGGCCAAUACUAACACUGAGAGACGAAAGCGAGGGGAGCAAAUGGGAUUAGAUACCCUAGUAGUCC
RNAcentral lists this ribosomal RNA (426 nucleotides) under uncultured bacterium. Its description in RNAcentral is "partial 16S ribosomal RNA". It matches the Rfam family "Bacterial small subunit ribosomal RNA", at positions 354 to 796 of the family's 1533-position model. The record is from RNAcentral.